Molecule: ribosomal RNA, 253 nt
Filed under: uncultured bacterium
Lineage: Bacteria
Description: partial 16S ribosomal RNA
Rfam family: Bacterial small subunit ribosomal RNA
Source: RNAcentral
UACGGAGGGUGCAAGCGUUAUCCGGAUUCACUGGGUUUAAAGGGUGCGUAGGCGGGUAGGUAAGUCAGUGGUGAAAUCUUUGGGCUUAACCCGAAAACUGCCAUUGAUACUAUUUAUCUUGAAUAUUGUGGAGGCUAGCGGAAUAUGUCAUGUAGCGGUGAAAUGCUUAGAGAUGACAUAGAACACCUAUUGCGAAGGCAGCUGGCUACGCAUAUAUUGACGCUGAGGCACGAAAGCGUGGGGAUCAAACAGG